UUAAAUUGAAGAGUUUGAUCAUGGCUCAGAUUGAACGCUGGCGGCAGGCCUAACACAUGCAAGUCGAACGGUAACAGGAAGCAGCUUGCUGCUUUGCUGACGAGUGGCGGACGGGUGAGUAAUGUCUGGGAAACUGCCUGAUGGAGGGGGAUAACUACUGGAAACGGUGGCUAAUACCGCAUAACGUCGCAAGACCAAAGAGGGGGACCUUCGGGCCUCUUGCCAUCAGAUGUGCCCAGAUGG
RNAcentral lists this ribosomal RNA (243 nucleotides) under Salmonella enterica subsp. enterica serovar Moscow str. SA20061414. RNAcentral describes it as "partial 16S ribosomal RNA". It matches the Rfam family "Bacterial small subunit ribosomal RNA", at positions 1 to 238 of the family's 1533-position model. The record is from RNAcentral. Lineage: Bacteria; Pseudomonadati; Pseudomonadota; Gammaproteobacteria; Enterobacterales; Enterobacteriaceae.